This 492-nucleotide long non-coding RNA is filed under the name Brassica napus (rape). RNAcentral describes it as "long non-coding RNA (BNAP_LNC004065)". Lineage: Eukaryota; Viridiplantae; Streptophyta; Magnoliopsida; Brassicales; Brassicaceae. The record is from RNAcentral.
GUCGGCUCAACCACCGGUACCGCCACCAGCUUCACCACCGACACCUCCGGAUAGUUCGCCUGAAGCGGCGACUCGAUUUGUUUCUGGAGCCACCGGUGGUGUUAUGGAUGAAGCGACGCUUCACGCCUCCUCCGCCGUCACGCUUCUUAUGCUUCCUCACCGUAGCUUCUUAUCUUCAAUCUUCAAGCCGGCUCAGCUCACGAGCCACCGCUUCUGCUACCUCAUCCUUCAUCAAUCUCCUCUGCCUCCUCCACCUUCCUUUACCAAAAUAAAUAAACUCAGAUUCAACGCUCAGAAGAGAGAAGGAGAGAGAGAGAGAGACGCUACCGGUGAUGGUGGUGAAGAGCGUGACGGUGGUGGUGGUGAAGAACGCGACGGUCGUUGUUAAACGUCGUUGUUGUAUAUGGAGAAGAAGAAGGCUGUGAGUGAUUGUGAGAGAUUAAGACAGAGUUGUGUUGUUGAAGAGACAGAGAGAAGAAGAUUAGAAAAGGC